CCCUUAGAUGUCCUGGGCCGCACGCGUGCUACACUGACGCCUACAGCGAGUACUUCCCAGCCCCGAGAGGCGGCUGGUAAUCAGCAAUAGGCGUCGUGAUGGGGAUAGAUCUUUGGAAUUCUGGAUCUUGAACGAGGAAUGCCUAGUAAGCGCAGGUCAUUAGCCUGCGUUGAUUACGUCCCUGCCCUUUGUACACACCGCCCGUCGCUCCUACCGAUUUCGAGUGGUCCGGUGAAUCUUUCGGACUGCGCGCAGCUUCGUGCCGUGUCGCGGAAAGUCAGGUAAACCUAAUCACUUAGAGGAAGGACAAGUCGUAACA
This 319-nucleotide ribosomal RNA is filed under the name uncultured eukaryote. Its description in RNAcentral is "partial 18S ribosomal RNA". It matches the Rfam family "Eukaryotic small subunit ribosomal RNA", at positions 1470 to 1796 of the family's 1831-position model. The record is from RNAcentral.